This 315-nucleotide small RNA is filed under the name Histoplasma ohiense. RNAcentral's name for it is "hypothetical lncRNA". The record is from RNAcentral. Lineage: Eukaryota; Fungi; Ascomycota; Eurotiomycetes; Onygenales; Ajellomycetaceae.
GCGAGUCUAGUAUUGUAAAGGGUGGUUUCAAUUACAGACAAUACGAGGACGCCAAGUCGAGGCCUUGGGAAACAAUGACAGGAGCUUGAACGCAGAUAAAGCUGUAACUACAGCAAGGCGCGAAGAAUUAAGCAGCUGCCCUGACGCUCAUCUUCUUUACCUCGAUUAGCCGGCAAACGGUCGAGAAUCAACAGGUGCCAGCCUCGGCUUUGCCAUGCGAGGUUCAAAUUACGAUGCUAUUCCACACAUCCAUACGGUACCGGGAUUCUGGGGCUCCGUCUCACGCUUUGCAGGUUGUGAAAAAUACAACGGGGG